This 561-nucleotide ribosomal RNA is filed under the name uncultured Gammaproteobacteria bacterium. RNAcentral describes it as "bacterial SSU rRNA". It matches the Rfam family "Bacterial small subunit ribosomal RNA", at positions 338 to 899 of the family's 1533-position model. The record is from RNAcentral. Lineage: Bacteria; Pseudomonadati; Pseudomonadota; Gammaproteobacteria.
CCUACGGGAGGCAGCAGUGGGGAAUAUUGGACAAUGGGCGCAAGCCUGAUCCAGCCAUGCCGCGUGGGUGAAGAAGGCCUUCGGGUUGUAAAGCCCUUUUGUCCGGAAAGAAAAGCACUGGAUUAAUACUUCGGUGUUAUGACGGUACCGGAAGAAUAAGCACCGGCUAACUUCGUGCCAGCAGCCGCGGUAAUACGAAGGGUGCAAGCGUUACUCGGAAUUACUGGGCGUAAAGCGUGCGUAGGUGGUUCGUUAAGUCUGAUGUGAAAGCCCUGGGCUCAACCUGGGAAUUGCAUUGGAUACUGGCGGGCUAGAGUGCGGUAGAGGAUGGCGGAAUUCCCGGUGUAGCAGUGAAAUGCGUAGAGAUCGGGAGGAACAUCUGUGGCGAAGGCGGCCAUCUGGACCAGCACUGACACUGAGGCACGAAAGCGUGGGGAGCAAACAGGAUUAGAUACCCUGGUAGUCCACGCCCUAAACGAUGCGAACUGGAUGUUGGGUGCAACUAGGCACUCAGUAUCGAAGCUAACGCGUUAAGUUCGCCGCCUGGGAGACGAAAGGUCC